AUGCAGUAUAUCCAUCGUGC
Molecule: microRNA, 20 nt
Filed under: Ciona intestinalis (vase tunicate)
Lineage: Eukaryota; Metazoa; Chordata; Ascidiacea; Phlebobranchia; Cionidae
Description: cin-miR-3598-3p
Source: miRBase by way of RNAcentral